UGGGGGGGGUGGUUGCAUUUAGUUUUGGCCAUUUUUCCUCCUUCAAGCGCUGUGGAUUUGUACCAACAGAUAGUGAAUUUAAGUUCAGAAAAGGUUAAGUCCACAUUUGAAAAGCAGUAUUUUCUUCAGUCAUAAGGUAUCUGGAUGAGUAAACUUCGGUCAAUAAUUCUCUACUCUUCUCUUAAGGUGGCAGAAGUGAUAAAUCUGAAAUGGAGCCUACUCCUGUGAGAAACUCGAGCAGGAAAGAGGAAAGCGGAACAAGCAACUUGAAGUGUAUGCACGUAGGUGUCAGGAACUGGCCUGCUGAUCUGAGUCUCUGCCAAGGAAGAUAGGUGCAGGGCGUCAGCCUAUCUGCCUAAGUGAACGGUGGGAAAACUGCAUCAGGAAGUCAUUCUUCCUACCAGCCCCUUUGGCUUGUGCCUCCCCCAACAGCCAGAUGAAAGAGGAGUAGCUGGCUCCUUAUCACCAUCUAGCAGCUGUAAAGGUGACACUGGGCUCUGCCUGCCUGGCUGGCUUUGAGAUUAAACAGAACAUAACUUCAGGGUCCCAAAACUACUUUGGCUUGAGAGCAAAGGUAAUAACUUCUCAGACUAAACAGAUAAACCCCCUUGAACAAAGGCUGGUGAUCUUGAGAAAAUAAAGGAAAUGAAACCUAGACUA
Marmota monax (woodchuck) is the source of this 660-nucleotide long non-coding RNA. RefSeq lists it as uncharacterized. The record is from RefSeq and is a predicted model, not a curated record. The transcript is spliced from 2 exons. Lineage: Eukaryota; Metazoa; Chordata; Mammalia; Rodentia; Sciuridae.